This 557-nucleotide ribosomal RNA is filed under the name uncultured bacterium. RNAcentral's name for it is "partial 16S ribosomal RNA". It matches the Rfam family "Bacterial small subunit ribosomal RNA", at positions 355 to 935 of the family's 1533-position model. The record is from RNAcentral.
UGGGGAAUCUUGCGCAAUGGGCGAAAGCCUGACGCAGCCAUGCCGCGUGAGUGAUGAAGGCCUUAGGGUUGUAAAACUCUUUCACCGGGGACGAUAAUGACGGUACCCGGGAGAAGAAGCCCCGGCUAACUUCGUGCCAGCAGCCGCGGUAAUACGAAGGGGGCUAGCGUUGCUCGGAAUUACUGGGCGUAAAGGGCGCGUAGGCGGAUCAGCAAGUUGGGGGUGAAAGCCCGGGGCUCAACCUCGGAAUUGCCUUCAAAACUGCUGAUCUAGAGUACGGGAGAGGUGUGUGGAACUCCGAGUGUAGAGGUGAAAUUCGUAGAUAUUCGGAAGAACACCAGUGGCGAAGGCGACACACUGGCCCGUUACUGACGCUGAGGCGCGAAAGCGUGGGGAGCAAACAGGAUUAGAUACCCUGGUAGUCCACGCUGUAAACGAUGAUUGCUAGUUGUCGGCAGGCAUGCCUGUCGGUGACNCAGCUAACGCAUUAAGCAUCCGCCUGGGGNGUACGGUCGCAAGAUUAAAACUCAAAUGAAUUGACGGGGUCAUAGCUGUUU